This 229-nucleotide unclassified non-coding RNA is filed under the name Spirosphaera carici-graminis. Its description in RNAcentral is "partial internal transcribed spacer region". The stretch from base 1 to 46 matches the Rfam family "Eukaryotic small subunit ribosomal RNA", at positions 1786 to 1831 of the family's 1831-position model. Lineage: Eukaryota; Fungi; Ascomycota; Leotiomycetes; Helotiales. The record is from RNAcentral.
AAGUCGUAACAAGGUUUCCGUAGGUGAACCUGCGGAAGGAUCAUUAAAAAUGAAGCCGGGAAACCGGUCCUUCUCACCCUUGAUUAUCUCAAAUUGUUGCUUUGGUGGGCCGCGCAAGCACCGGCUUCGGCUGGAUUGUGCCCGCCAGAGGACCACAACUCUGUAUUAUAUGUCGUCUGAGUACUAUAAAAUAGUUAAAACUUUCAACAACGGAUCUCUUGGUUCUGGC